ACAAUGGCGGAGGCGGUGGGACAUUACCGAGUUUUCAACUCCCUAACCCUUAUGUGAACCUACCUAUUGUUGCUUCGGCGGACUCGCCCCAGCCGGACGCGGACUGGACUAGCGGCCGCCGGGGACCCUCAAACUCUUGUAUUAUCAGCAUCUUCUGAAUACGCCGCAAGGCAAAACAAAUAAAUCAAAACUUUCAACAACGGAUCUCUUGGCUCUGGCAUCGAUGAAGAACGCAGCGAAACGCGAUAAGUAAUGUGAAUUGCAGAAUCCAGUGAAUCAUCGAAUCUUUGAACGCACAUUGCGCCCGCCAGCAUUCUGGCGGGCAUGCCUGUUCGAGCGUCAUUUCAACCCUCGACCUCCCUUUGGGGAAGUCGGCGUUGGGGACCGGCAGCACACCGCCGGCCCUGAAAUGGAGUGGCGGCCCGUCCGCGGCGACCUCUGCGUAGUAAUCCAACUCGCACCGGAACCCCGACGUGGCCACGCCGUAAAACACCCAACUUCUGAACGUUGACCUCGAAUCAGGUAGGACUACCCGCUGAACUUAAGCAUAUCAAUAAGCGGAGGAA
RNAcentral lists this ribosomal RNA (566 nucleotides) under Beauveria brongniartii. RNAcentral's name for it is "eukaryotic LSU rRNA". The stretch from base 189 to 342 matches the Rfam family "5.8S ribosomal RNA". Lineage: Eukaryota; Fungi; Ascomycota; Sordariomycetes; Hypocreales; Cordycipitaceae. The record is from RNAcentral.